UGCUUGGAGCCAGCAGAAGAAUUAAGUUCAGCCUCAAGAGCUGAGAAUUUCUUCUUCCACAUGUCGAUCUCCUUCUCCCGUCCGAUGAUCAACCCUUCGUAAUGUUCGAUCAUGUCGUUAAAUUCGCUCUGGGCCUGACAUUAUACAUGAACCAAGGAUGGUGAGUCAGUUCGCAGAAUGGCAAUGCAAAAAAAAAAAAAAAAAGAAGAAAAGAAAGCGGAACUAACCCGAGAUGAGUGGUGCG
Molecule: long non-coding RNA, 244 nt
Filed under: Arabidopsis lyrata
Lineage: Eukaryota; Viridiplantae; Streptophyta; Magnoliopsida; Brassicales; Brassicaceae
Description: long non-coding RNA (ALYR_LNC000165)
Source: RNAcentral